CUCCGGGAAACCGGGGCUAAUACCGGAUAACAUUUUGAACUGCAUGGUUCGAAAUUGAAAGGCGGCUUCGGCUGUCACUUAUGGAUGGACCCGCGUCGCAUUAGCUAGUUGGUGAGGUAACGGCUCACCAAGGCAACGAUGCGUAGCCGACCUGAGAGGGUGAUCGGCCACACUGGGACUGAGACACGGCCCAGACUCCUACGGGAGGCAGCAGUAGGGAAUCUUCCGCAAUGGACGAAAGUCUGACGGAGCAACGCCGCGUGAGUGAUGAAGGCUUUCGGGUCGUAAAACUCUGUUGUUAGGGAAGAACAAGUGCUAGUUGAAUAAGCUGGCACCUUGACGGUACCUAACCAGAAAGCCACGGCUAACUACGUGCCAGCAGCCGCGGUAAUACGUAGGUGGCAAGCGUUAUCCGGAAUUAUUGGGCGUAAAGCGCGCGCAGGUGGUUUCUUAAGUCUGAUGUGAAAGCCCACGGCUCAACCGUGGAGGGUCAUUGGAAACUGGGAGACUUGAGUGCAGAAGAGGAAAGUGGAAUUCC
RNAcentral lists this ribosomal RNA (538 nucleotides) under Bacillus sp. B13(2015). RNAcentral's name for it is "bacterial SSU rRNA". It matches the Rfam family "Bacterial small subunit ribosomal RNA", at positions 147 to 670 of the family's 1533-position model. The record is from RNAcentral. Lineage: Bacteria; Bacillati; Bacillota; Bacilli; Caryophanales; Bacillaceae.